Molecule: ribosomal RNA, 292 nt
Filed under: uncultured bacterium
Lineage: Bacteria
Description: partial 16S ribosomal RNA
Rfam family: Bacterial small subunit ribosomal RNA
Source: RNAcentral
GUGCCAGCCGCCGCGGUAAGACGUAGGGGGCAAGCGUUGUUCGGAAUCAUUGGGCGUAAAGCGCUCGUAGGCGGUCGAUUAAGUCGGAUGUGAAAACCCAGGGCUCAACCCUGUGCCUGCAUUCGAAACUGAUCGACUUGAAUCCAGAAGAGGCAAGUGGAAUUCCCGGUGUAGCGGUGGAAUGCGCAGAUAUCGGGAAGAACACCAGUGGCGAAGGCGGCUUGCUGGGAUGUGAUUGACGCUGAGGAGCGAAAGCUAGGGGAGCAAACAGGAUUAGAUACCCCUGUAGUCC